AUUGAACGCUGGCGGCAUGCCUUACACAUGCAAGUCGAACGGUAACGGGCCUUCGGGUGCCGACGAGUGGCGAACGGGUGAGUAAUACAUCGGAACGUGCCCGAUCGUGGGGGAUAACGAGGCGAAAGCUUUGCUAAUACCGCAUACGAUCUACGGAUGAAAGCAGGGGACCGCAAGGCCUUGCGCGGACGGAGCGGCCGCUGGCAGAUUAGGUAGUUGGUGGGAUAAAAGCUUACCAAGCCGACGAUCUGUAGCUGGGCUGAGAGGAUGAGCAGCCACACUGGGACUGAGACACGGCCCAGACUCCUACGGGAGGCAGCAGUGGGGAAUUUUGGACAAUGGGCGCAAGCCUGAUCCAGCCAUGCCGCGUGCAGGAUGAAGGCCUUCGGGUUGUAAACUGCUUCUGUACGGAACGAAAAGCCUUCUUUUAAUACAGGAGGGUCAUGACGGUACCGUAAGAAUAAGCACCGGCUAACUACGUG
Molecule: ribosomal RNA, 482 nt
Filed under: uncultured bacterium
Lineage: Bacteria
Description: partial 16S ribosomal RNA
Rfam family: Bacterial small subunit ribosomal RNA
Source: RNAcentral